Molecule: long non-coding RNA, 306 nt
Filed under: Homo sapiens (human)
Lineage: Eukaryota; Metazoa; Chordata; Mammalia; Primates; Hominidae
Description: HSALNT0012210
Source: RNAcentral
CAUUCACCAACAAUACUCUCCAGUCCUCUCUAAUCUUCUGUUCUUAACUAGUCAAUCCCCUACCAUGGAUUAAUCCAACCAUCCAUUUUCUCAUGAGUGUGGUCAACAAAUAUCCUGGUAAGUACUGAUUGGUUUAAUUACUGAUAUAUAAUUACAGCCUUGGUUGGCCUUUAAAUUUUAUUUAUUUAUUUUUUGAGACAGAGUUUCGUGCUGUUGCCCAGGAUGGAGUGCAGCUGGAGUGCAAUCUCAGCUCACUGCAACCUCUACUGCCCAGGUUCAAGCAAUUCUCAUGCCUCAGCCUCCCGA